Hemiscyllium ocellatum (epaulette shark) is the source of this 225-nucleotide long non-coding RNA. RefSeq lists it as uncharacterized. The transcript has 3 exons. Lineage: Eukaryota; Metazoa; Chordata; Chondrichthyes; Orectolobiformes; Hemiscylliidae. The record is from RefSeq and is a predicted model, not a curated record.
ACACUUUGAACUCCACAUCCAACACACAGGGUUGGACAAUCAGCUUCGGAACUGAAAUCUUCAUUCAUAUGAUCACGGUACUGAACGAACUGAAUCAACUGGUGACUGCAAAGGAAACUGGCUGCAAUUCAGCAACAACUGAAGAAAGCCAGACCAUUUUGGUACGAUUCUUCUAGUGGCAAAUAUAUCAUUCCUGAGGUGGAACACAGAAAUAUGGAACACAGA